AGUAAAAUAAGCUAACCUAAGCUAUUGGGCCCAUGCCCCAGCAAUGAGAUAACCUCUUUUACUA
Molecule: transfer RNA, 64 nt
Filed under: Hemiarthrum setulosum
Lineage: Eukaryota; Metazoa; Mollusca; Polyplacophora; Chitonida; Hemiarthridae
Description: tRNA-Met
Source: RNAcentral